CCUUCCUAAAAUGUGGCAACCAAAAGUGCAGGCAGUGAUCCAGGUGUGAGGGGACCAGGGUUUUCUGUGGUGGCAAAACAAGGCUUUGGGUUUCCUACCAUUUUCCCCUGGCCUUUAGUCUUCUGCCACCCCAUAUCGGUCUUCCCUGGUUUUAUCGAAGUUCACGGCACUAAAAUGACUGUGAGAUUAUUUGUCUUGUGGGUGAGAUUCCAGUUUACAUAAUGAGCAGCUUGGAUGACAGUUUCAAGGAUUUUGGAUGACACUCCUUAGCCCAACAAGUUGGAUGAGUUUCCUGAAAGUCUGGAAGAACAAUCUAAUGCCAGUUUCUCAAUUUCCUAUUAGGUCCUUGUCUCUUGAAAAUGGAAUAAAACUGGACCUUGUACUCUGCCAAGUGCUUAGUACAGGGUUCUGCACACAGUAAGCGCUCAGUAAAUAUGGUUGAUUGAUUGGUCUGUUUUGGAUUUUGUUUCACUCUGGAUGAUUAGGAAAAGGAGGACUCCAGGAACUACAACUUGACUAACCUAUCAGUUAUGAAGUAAGAAGAGCUUCUCUGCACAGUCAGAGGUGCUUAGUCAUUUCUGGAAUCCAAGUUUCCAGUUGGGAUCAAAUGCUUUUGUCAGGGUAAUGAGUACCAUGUAGCAGUCUGUUCUUUGAAUUUCUUUGUUAAAAUAUAUUCUAGAAAGAUUAUUCUACACAUUCACUUACAGCAUUGGAAUGGCCCAAGAACAUGCUGUGAUUUAAGUGACACAUAAUUGACAGUAUUGUGCAGUAGGUGGUUCAGGUGAACUCCAGUCAGGAUCUUGAUGGAGGGUGUCGAGAUACCACCACAGUUACCACAGCAGGCAUUUUCAACUUUUCUCUUCAAGACAGUUACAUAAGUGCACUGUGCUUCAGCAGGUAGAAUUUAAAGUAUCCAGACAAGAAAUUACCUGCUCCAUAAAAGAAGAUUUUGGAUAGCCUCUGCCACUCCUCCUGCCUGUGAAGAGAAAAAGAAAUGUCUGUUGAAGAAUGAAGCCCCACAGCCAGUACACUGUUUUGUAAUGAAAACCCUGAAGGGAUUAAAUAAGGCAUCUAAUCUAGAACUUCUGUUGCUGCAGUAUUCCUAAUGACUGUUUUGGAAAUAACCAAAUAUUAAAGACAGUAGGAAUGAUAUAUGUUGUUGAAAGUAAUUCCCAUGGAAACACACUGACGUUUUACAAUUGAAAUUAAGUUUACUGUGAAAAUAAUACUUUGUACUUAA
Long non-coding RNA from Tachyglossus aculeatus (Australian echidna), 1240 nucleotides. RefSeq lists it as uncharacterized. Lineage: Eukaryota; Metazoa; Chordata; Mammalia; Monotremata; Tachyglossidae. The transcript is spliced from 2 exons. The record is from RefSeq and is a predicted model, not a curated record.